UGCUUGAUGCCGCGUGAGUAAGAAGGCCUUUGGGUUGUAAAGCUCUUUUGUAGGGGAAGAUAAUGACUGUACCCUAAGAAUAAGGUCCGGCUAACUUCGUGCCAGCAGCCGCGGUAAUACGAAGGGACCUAGCGUAGUUCGGAAUUACUGGGCGUAAAGCGCGCGUAGGCCGUUGAGUUAGUUAAUUGUGAAAUCCCAAAGCUUAACUUUGGAACUGCAAUUAAAACUGCUCGACUAGAGUUUGAUAGAGGAAAGCGGAAUACAUAGUGUAGAGGUGAAAUUCGUAGAUAUUAUGUAGAACACCAGUUGCGAAGGCGGCUUUCUGGGUCAACACUGACGCUGAGGCGCGAAAGUAUGGGUAGCAAAGAGGAUUAGAUACCCUCGUAGUCCAUACCAUAAACGAUGAUUGCUAGAUGUUGGAAAUUUAUUUUCAGUAUCGCAGCUAACGCAUUAAGCAAUCCGCCUGGGGAGUACGAGCGCAAGCUUAAAACAUAAAGGAAUUGACGGGGACCCGCACAAGCGGUGGAGCGUGUUGUCUAAUUCGAUGCAAAGCGAAGAAGCUUAC
RNAcentral lists this ribosomal RNA (565 nucleotides) under uncultured bacterium. Its description in RNAcentral is "bacterial SSU rRNA". It matches the Rfam family "Bacterial small subunit ribosomal RNA", at positions 388 to 974 of the family's 1533-position model. The record is from RNAcentral.